UAACGACUGCCACCGGGCAGUAAUUGUCAGUACUUUUUGCAAUUCCGUUAGGUCUUAGAAGGAAUUGUGGGGAGUGCUAUUUUUUU
RNAcentral lists this non-coding RNA (86 nucleotides) under unclassified sequences. The record is from RNAcentral.